This 468-nucleotide ribosomal RNA is filed under the name uncultured bacterium. Its description in RNAcentral is "partial 16S ribosomal RNA". It matches the Rfam family "Bacterial small subunit ribosomal RNA", at positions 28 to 507 of the family's 1533-position model. The record is from RNAcentral.
GACGAACGCUGGCGGCGUGCUUAACACAUGCAAGUCGAACGGAAAGGCCCUGCUUUUGUGGGGUGCUCGAGUGGCGAACGGGUGAGAAACACGUGAGUAACCUGCCCUUGACUUUGGGAUAACUUCAGGAAACUGGGGCUAAUACCGGAUAGGAGCUCCUGCUGCAUGGUGGGGGUUGGAAAGUUUCGGCGGUUGGGGGUGGACUCGCGGCUUAUCAGCUUGUUGGUGGGGUAGUGGCUUACCAAGGCUUUGACGGGUAGCCGGCCUGAGAGGGUGACCGGCCACAUUGGGACUGAGAUACGGCCCAGACUCCUACGGGAGGCAGCAGUGGGGAAUAUUGCACAAUGGGCGGAAGCCUGAUGCAGCAACGCCGCGUGCGGGAUGACGGCCUUCGGGUUGUAAACCGCUUUCGCCUGUGACGAAGCGUGAGUGACGGUAAUGGGUAAAGAAGCACCAGCUAACUACGUG